RNAcentral lists this ribosomal RNA (497 nucleotides) under uncultured bacterium. RNAcentral describes it as "partial 16S ribosomal RNA". It matches the Rfam family "Bacterial small subunit ribosomal RNA", at positions 28 to 507 of the family's 1533-position model. The record is from RNAcentral.
GAUGAACGCUGGCGGCGUGCCUAAUACAUGCAAGUCGAGCGAACAGAUGAGGAGCUUGCUCCUCUGACGUUAGCGGCGGACGGGUGAGUAACACGUGGAUAACCUACCUAUAUGACUGGGAUAACUUCGGGAAUCCGGAGCUAAUACCGGAUAAUAUAUUGAACCGCAUGGUUCAAUAGUGUAAGACGGUUUUGCUGUCACUUAUAGAUGGAUCCGCGCCGCAUUAGCUAGUUGGUAAGGUAACGGCUUACCAAGGCAACGAUGCGUAGCCGACCUGAGAGGGUGAUCGGCCACACUGGAACUGAGACACGGUCCAGACUCCUACGGGAGGCAGCAGUAGGGAAUCUUCCGCAAUGGGCGAAAGCCUGACGGAGCAACGCCGCGUGAGUGAUGAAGGUCUUCGGAUCGUAAAACUCUGUUAUUAGGGAAGAACAAAUGUGUAAGUAACUAUGCACGUCUUGACGGUACCUAAUCAGAAAGCCACGGCUAACUACGUG